AGUUCCUGUGGGCGUGGACAUUCCAGUCACAGAACAGCAGCUCUACAUCAUGAAGGCUCCUGAAGAACCCAAACUACCCAUGAAAAUGCAAGUGAAAAGUCCUGCUCUGGUGUAUUACUGACGCUGCUUCUAGAAAACCCCUUUAUUAGAAGGCAGCAUGAAACCAGCAUUGGGAUAUAAGGGCAUAUCCUUUGCUAAAAGAAAACCUCCUUCUAAUACUCCUAACCAAAGGGCAGAAGUGCUGUCUGAAUGCCACCUUUCUCUGAUUCUUGGGGCUUCGUCUUCGAAGACCAAGAGGAUCCUCCUUCAUCUGAAACCUCUCAGAAAGGGAAAGGUUGGUCACGACUUGCUCCCCCAGCAAGGAGCUUCAGGCACUGCCGACUGUGUUCAGUAACCCAUCUCUGACAGGAUGCUCUUCAGGAAGAUUCCUGCUAGCUUAUCUCAGAAGAACAGCAGCCUGUGCGUGAGCCUCUUCCCUUGAGAAUUUCCUCUUCCUUCGGCAGUGUCUUGAAAUGGCCACAUUUUCCAUUUCUGUGACUUCCUAUCAGCUUUUCAAAAGCUCCCCUACAAACUAAAGUUGUUCUGGCAUUGACAAUGUGAUCUCAGGAUUUCCACAACUGGCUUUCCUCAAGAUGAAUCUUGGGAUGAGUUUGGCAGCAGAUUGUGUGAUAAGGAGCGCUGGUAUGGGAGUCAGAAAGUGUCGUGAACCCUGCAGAGCAAGUGACAUCACCUCUCUCCAUCUCAUUGUCAUCAACUGUAAGUGAGAGAGUGAAUGAAGGAUGCUUCCAACUGUCAAAUCCUGUAAGUCAAGAGAACCUGUGCUCCAGAGGAGAACAUGGAUAUUGGCAAAAAGUUUCUGCUGCACCAUGAACCCAAGAACUGUGAACACAUCCCAGUGGGCAGACAGCUGGCUGCCUACCAAAUCUAUCUUCCUAUUCUUUCAACGUAAUGGUCCAGCCCAAUAUGUGACCUCUCAGUUGGAGACUAUGUUUCAAGAGUCCCUUGCUGGCAAGUGUCUGAGCUCCUUCCAAUGGAAUGUGAGCAGAAGGGAUGGGAGAUGUUUCUAGGCCCAGCAUCUGACACAACCUUCCCCAUGGUUGGUGCUGAACUCCAGAACAGCUGAGGACCGACUGGCUUUGAGCAUGCAGGUGCAGGACUGUAUGAGAGAUGAAAAACUUCUUGGUCCUUGAAAUAAACUUUUCCUCUAAAAUCUUAUAUAAACCUUGGGACUCAUGCAUAAGAAUUAAAGAGAAAGAAGAAAAGAAAUCCCUUUUUGUUUCCUUGCAUGGAACAGAGACAUGGAGGAGUUUGGUGUCUUAGUAAGUAGUAGUAAGUAGUUGGGUUUGGCUGAAGUGCGUGUGUGUGUGUGUGUGUGUGUGUGUGUGUUGUGGGCUGGGACCCAGGAUGAGGGGUUGUGGAGUACAGGAGGCCUCUUUUUUUUUGUUUUGAGAUGGAGUCUUACUCUGUCACCCAGGCUAGAGUGCAGUGGCAUUAUCUUGGCUCACUGCAACCUCCGCCUCCUGGGUUCAAGUGAUUCUGGGGCCUCAGCCUCCUGAGUAGCUGGGAUUACAGGUGUGCAUCAACAUGCCUGGCUAAUUUUUACAUUUUUAAUAGGGACGGGGUUCCACCAUGUUGGUCAGGCUGGUCUUGAAUUCCUGACCUCAUGAUCCACCCACCUCAGCCUCUCAAAGUGCUGGGAUUAGAGGUGUGAGCCACCAUGCCCGGCCUCUUUUUUUAAUUUAAUUUUUUUUUUUUUUUUGACACAGGGUCUUAUUCUGUCACCCUGUUUGGAGCACAGUGUUUUGAUCAUAGCUCACUGCAGCCUCAACCUCCCUGGCUCAAGCAAUCCUCCUACCUCAACCUCCUGAGUAGCUGGGACCACAAGUGUGUAUCACCAUGCCUAGCUAAUUUUUUUUUUUUUUUCUAAUUUUUGGUAGAGACAGAAUCUCUCUGUUGCCCAGGCUGGUCUUGAACUCCUGGGCUCAAGCAAUCCUCCUGCCUCGGCCUCUCAAAAUGCUGGGAUUACAAGUGUGAGUCAUUUCACCCAGCUGACAGACCUCUUAGUGAGCAUAGCAAGGGCAAGCGCUGGGGUCAGAUUCCCAAGGUGGACCCACAUUUGAGGGAUGGUCAUGGUCAGAGAAAGUAUAAGGCAGCAAAAGAGUCCAGGAAAACGAUUAAGAAGUAGCAGAUGCUAGAGAAAGUGGCACCAUGAAGCCAAGGAAGAAGUUUCCAAGUGACACAGAUAUUUGCUACUCCAUUUUCUUUUCGAAAUGAGAAUAAUGCUUAUUUUUCUUCUGUAAGAGUUUUUCUUCUGAAAUAAAAAGUUUUCAAAGGGAAUUCAAUGAAAACAAUUAACUAAUUUAUUCUUUGGUCCUCGG
RNAcentral lists this long non-coding RNA (2378 nucleotides) under Saimiri boliviensis boliviensis (Bolivian squirrel monkey). RNAcentral's name for it is "lncRNA (ENSSBOG00000036767.1)". The record is from RNAcentral. Lineage: Eukaryota; Metazoa; Chordata; Mammalia; Primates; Cebidae.